This 2925-nucleotide ribosomal RNA is filed under the name Escherichia coli. RNAcentral describes it as "bacterial LSU rRNA". It matches the Rfam family "Bacterial large subunit ribosomal RNA". Lineage: Bacteria; Pseudomonadati; Pseudomonadota; Gammaproteobacteria; Enterobacterales; Enterobacteriaceae. The record is from RNAcentral.
GGGUUGUGAGGUUAAGCGACUAAGCGUACACGGUGGAUGCCCUGGCAGUCAGAGGCGAUGAAGGACGUGCUAAUCUGCGAUAAGCGUCGGUAAGGUGAUAUGAACCGUUAUAACCGGCGAUUUCCGAAUGGGGAAACCCAGUGUGUUUCGACACACUAUCAUUAACUGAAUCCAUAGGUUAAUGAGGCGAACCGGGGGAACUGAAACAUCUAAGUACCCCGAGGAAAAGAAAUCAACCGAGAUUCCCCCAGUAGCGGCGAGCGAACGGGGAGGAGCCCAGAGCCUGAAUCAGUGUGUGUGUUAGUGGAAGCGUCUGGAAAGGCGCGCGAUACAGGGUGACAGCCCCGUACACAAAAAUGCACAUGCUGUGAGCUCGAUGAGUAGGGCGGGACACGUGGUAUCCUGUCUGAAUAUGGGGGGACCAUCCUCCAAGGCUAAAUACUCCUGACUGACCGAUAGUGAACCAGUACCGUGAGGGAAAGGCGAAAAGAACCCCGGCGAGGGGAGUGAAAAAGAACCUGAAACCGUGUACGUACAAGCAGUGGGAGCCUCUUUUAUGGGGUGACUGCGUACCUUUUGUAUAAUGGGUCAGCGACUUAUAUUCUGUAGCAAGGUUAACCGAAUAGGGGAGCCGAAGGGAAACCGAGUCUUAACUGGGCGUUAAGUUGCAGGGUAUAGACCCGAAACCCGGUGAUCUAGCCAUGGGCAGGUUGAAGGUUGGGUAACACUAACUGGAGGACCGAACCGACUAAUGUUGAAAAAUUAGCGGAUGACUUGUGGCUGGGGGUGAAAGGCCAAUCAAACCGGGAGAUAGCUGGUUCUCCCCGAAAGCUAUUUAGGUAGCGCCUCGUGAAUUCAUCUCCGGGGGUAGAGCACUGUUUCGGCAAGGGGGUCAUCCCGACUUACCAACCCGAUGCAAACUGCGAAUACCGGAGAAUGUUAUCACGGGAGACACACGGCGGGUGCUAACGUCCGUCGUGAAGAGGGAAACAACCCAGACCGCCAGCUAAGGUCCCAAAGUCAUGGUUAAGUGGGAAACGAUGUGGGAAGGCCCAGACAGCCAGGAUGUUGGCUUAGAAGCAGCCAUCAUUUAAAGAAAGCGUAAUAGCUCACUGGUCGAGUCGGCCUGCGCGGAAGAUGUAACGGGGCUAAACCAUGCACCGAAGCUGCGGCAGCGACGCUUAUGCGUUGUUGGGUAGGGGAGCGUUCUGUAAGCCUGCGAAGGUGUACUGUGAGGUAUGCUGGAGGUAUCAGAAGUGCGAAUGCUGACAUAAGUAACGAUAAAGCGGGUGAAAAGCCCGCUCGCUGGAAGACCAAGGGUUCCUGUCCAACGUUAAUCGGGGCAGGGUGAGUCGACCCCUAAGGCGAGGCCGAAAGGCGUAGUCGAUGGGAAACAGGUUAAUAUUCCUGUACUUGGUGUUACUGCGAAGGGGGGACGGAGAAGGCUAUGUUGGCCGGGCGACGGUUGUCCCGGUUUAAGCGUGUAGGCUGGUUUUCCAGGCAAAUCCGGAAAAUCAAGGCUGAGGCGUGAUGACGAGGCACUACGGUGCUGAAGCAACAAAUGCCCUGCUUCCAGGAAAAGCCUCUAAGCAUCAGGUAACAUCAAAUCGUACCCCAAACCGACACAGGUGGUCAGGUAGAGAAUACCAAGGCGCUUGAGAGAACUCGGGUGAAGGAACUAGGCAAAAUGGUGCCGUAACUUCGGGAGAAGGCACGCUGAUAUGUAGGUGAAGUCCCUCGCGGAUGGAGCUGAAAUCAGUCGAAGAUACCAGCUGGCUGCAACUGUUUAUUAAAAACACAGCACUGUGCAAACACGAAAGUGGACGUAUACGGUGUGACGCCUGCCCGGUGCCGGAAGGUUAAUUGAUGGGGUUAGCGCAAGCGAAGCUCUUGAUCGAAGCCCCGGUAAACGGCGGCCGUAACUAUAACGGUCCUAAGGUAGCGAAAUUCCUUGUCGGGUAAGUUCCGACCUGCACGAAUGGCGUAAUGAUGGCCAGGCUGUCUCCACCCGAGACUCAGUGAAAUUGAACUCGCUGUGAAGAUGCAGUGUACCCGCGGCAAGACGGAAAGACCCCGUGAACCUUUACUAUAGCUUGACACUGAACAUUGAGCCUUGAUGUGUAGGAUAGGUGGGAGGCUUAGAAGUGUGGACGCCAGUCUGCAUGGAGCCGACCUUGAAAUACCACCCUUUAAUGUUUGAUGUUCUAACGUUGACCCGUAAUCCGGGUUGCGGACAGUGUCUGGUGGGUAGUUUGACUGGGGCGGUCUCCUCCUAAAGAGUAACGGAGGAGCACGAAGGUUGGCUAAUCCUGGUCGGACAUCAGGAGGUUAGUGCAAUGGCAUAAGCCAGCUUGACUGCGAGCGUGACGGCGCGAGCAGGUGCGAAAGCAGGUCAUAGUGAUCCGGUGGUUCUGAAUGGAAGGGCCAUCGCUCAACGGAUAAAAGGUACUCCGGGGAUAACAGGCUGAUACCGCCCAAGAGUUCAUAUCGACGGCGGUGUUUGGCACCUCGAUGUCGGCUCAUCACAUCCUGGGGCUGAAGUAGGUCCCAAGGGUAUGGCUGUUCGCCAUUUAAAGUGGUACGCGAGCUGGGUUUAGAACGUCGUGAGACAGUUCGGUCCCUAUCUGCCGUGGGCGCUGGAGAACUGAGGGGGGCUGCUCCUAGUACGAGAGGACCGGAGUGGACGCAUCACUGGUGUUCGGGUUGUCAUGCCAAUGGCACUGCCCGGUAGCUAAAUGCGGAAGAGAUAAGUGCUGAAAGCAUCUAAGCACGAAACUUGCCCCGAGAUGAGUUCUCCCUGACUCCUUGAGAGUCCUGAAGGAACGUUGAAGACGACGACGUUGAUAGGCCGGGUGUGUAAGCGCAGCGAUGCGUUGAGCUAACCGGUACUAAUGAACCGUGAGGCUUAACCUUACAACGCCGAAG